GACGAACGCUGGCGGCGUGCCUAAUACAUGCAAGUAGAACGCAGUUGCGAACGGGUGAGUACUGCGUAGGUAACUGCCUCAUAGCGGGGGAUAACUAUCGGAAACGAUAGCUCAUACCGCAUACUGUGAGAUGGACCUGCGUUGUAUUAGCUAGUUGGUGAGGUAAAGGCACACCAAGGCGACGAUACAUAGCCGACCCGAGAGGGGGAACGGGCACAAUUGGACUGGAAAAAGGGCCAAACUCCUACGGGAGGCGGCAGUAGGGAAGAUUCGGCAAAGGGCGGAAGGCUGGCCGAGCAACGGCGCGUGGGUUAAGAAGGUUUUCGGAUCGUAAAACACUGUUAAUAGAGAAGCGGUAACUAACCAAAAAGGGGCGGCUAACUACGUGCCAGCAGCCGCGGUAAUAC
This 407-nucleotide ribosomal RNA is filed under the name uncultured bacterium. RNAcentral's name for it is "partial 16S ribosomal RNA". It matches the Rfam family "Bacterial small subunit ribosomal RNA", at positions 28 to 526 of the family's 1533-position model. The record is from RNAcentral.